AUAAAGACACUGAUGAGGAAAAAUAAGCUUUUUUAUUUUCUUACAGAGAGCCGUCGGUUGGUGCGAGGGGGCAGAAAAGAGAAGCAAAACUGGCCUCGGAGUUCUGUUCUGAAAAUGUAUGACAUGAGUAGGAUGCAGCGGCAGCCACCGUUAUCGGUUUUGAGCGUGCUUGCUUUUUCGGCAGGCAAACUAGAGUGGUAACACGGAGUAUCCCUUCGUCUCUAAC
RNAcentral lists this non-coding RNA (226 nucleotides) under Bacillota bacterium. RNAcentral describes it as "Firmicutes bacterium T-box sequence". It matches the Rfam family "T-box leader". From Rfam's summary of the family: Uncharged tRNA acts as the effector for transcription antitermination of genes in the T-box leader family. The record is from RNAcentral. Lineage: Bacteria; Bacillati; Bacillota.